Molecule: long non-coding RNA, 326 nt
Filed under: Vigna radiata
Lineage: Eukaryota; Viridiplantae; Streptophyta; Magnoliopsida; Fabales; Fabaceae
Description: long non-coding RNA (VRAD_LNC011623)
Source: RNAcentral
UAUGCUAACUUGCGUACGCCUGUUUUUCAGUUGGUACAUUUUAGCAAUGUGUACCGGAUUUCAGUAGACAAAAAUACCCUUAUAUAUCAUGAAUUAAGUUUUAAGGUUAAGGAUAUUUUAAUAAUUUUCAUUUUCAAAAUUAAAAAAAUAAAAAAAGAAACCCUCUAAACCCUUACCCACCUCUCUCAUCCCUCGCAACCCUUUCUCUUUCAUCUCUCUCCGACCUUUUCUCUGUCAUCCCUACUCUAGCCCCAAUUGAAAAAAUCAAACACUUGCCUUAUUUUAAAAAUUUUCAUUCUCAAAACUGAAAAAAGAAACCCCAAACC